RNAcentral lists this transfer RNA (77 nucleotides) under Actinomycetales bacterium. RNAcentral describes it as "tRNA-Met". It matches the Rfam family "tRNA". Rfam says of the family: Transfer RNA (tRNA) molecules are approximately 80 nucleotides in length. Their secondary structure includes four short double-helical elements and three loops (D, anti-codon, and T loops). Lineage: Bacteria; Bacillati; Actinomycetota; Actinomycetes; Actinomycetales. The record is from RNAcentral. RNAcentral also lists the same sequence under 2 other names.
CGCGGGGUGGAGCAGUUUGGUAGCUCGUCGGGCUCAUAACCCGAAGGUCGUAGGUUCAAAUCCUACCCCCGCCACCA